AGUGAACGCUGGCGGUAGGCCUAACACAUGCAAGUCGAACGGCAGCACAGUAAGAGCUUGCUCUUACGGGUGGCGAGUGGCGGACGGGUGAGGAAUACAUCGGAAUCUACUUUUUCGUGGGGGAUAACGUAGGGAAACUUACGCUAAUGCCGCAUACGACCUACGGGUGAAAGCAGGGGAUCUUCGGACCUUGCGCGAUUGAAUGAGCCGAUGUCGGAUUAGCUAGUUGGCGGGGUAAAGGCCCACCAAGGCGACGAUCCGUAGCUGGUCUGAGAGGAUGAUCAGCCACACUGGAACUGAGACACGGUCCAGACUCCUACGGGAGGCAGCAGUGGGGAAUAUUGGACAAUGGGCGCAAGCCUGAUCCAGCCAUACCGCGUGGGUGAAGAAGGCCUUCGGGUUGUAAAGCCCUUUUGUUGGGAAAGAAAAGCAGCAGGUUAAUACCCCGCUGUUCUGACGGUACCCAAAGAAUAAGCGCCGGCUAACUUCGUG
Molecule: ribosomal RNA, 492 nt
Filed under: uncultured bacterium
Lineage: Bacteria
Description: partial 16S ribosomal RNA
Rfam family: Bacterial small subunit ribosomal RNA
Source: RNAcentral